RNAcentral lists this ribosomal RNA (543 nucleotides) under uncultured bacterium. Its description in RNAcentral is "partial 16S ribosomal RNA". It matches the Rfam family "Bacterial small subunit ribosomal RNA", at positions 355 to 914 of the family's 1533-position model. The record is from RNAcentral.
UGGGGAAUAUUGCACAAUGGGCGAAAGCCUGAUGCAGCAACGCCGCGUGAGUGAUGAAGGCCUUCGGGUUGUAAAGCUCUGUCUUUUGGGACGAUAAUGACGGUACCAAAGGAGGAAGCCACGGCUAACUACGUGCCAGCAGCCGCGGUAAUACGUAGGUGGCAAGCGUUGUCCGGAUUUACUGGGCGUAAAGGAUGCGUAGGCGGAUUUUUAAGUGAGAUGUGAAAACCCUAAGCUUAACUUGGGGACUGCAUUUCAUACUGGAAAUCUAGAGUGCGGGAGAGGAGAAUGGAAUUCCUAGUGUAGCGGUGAAAUGCGUAGAGAUUAGGAAGAACACCAGUGGCGAAGGCGAUUCUCUGGACCGUAACUGACGCUGAGGCAUGAAAGCGUGGGUAGCAAACAGGAUUAGAUACCCUGGUAGUCCACGCCGUAAACGAUGAGUACUAGGUGUAGGAGGUAUCGACCCCUUCUGUGUCGCAGUUAACACAAUAAGUACUCCGCCUGGGAAGUACGAUCGCAAGAUUAAAACUCAAAUGAAUUGAC